RNAcentral lists this long non-coding RNA (302 nucleotides) under Neogobius melanostomus (round goby). RNAcentral describes it as "lncRNA (ENSNMLG00000007136.1)". Lineage: Eukaryota; Metazoa; Chordata; Actinopteri; Gobiiformes; Gobiidae. The record is from RNAcentral.
GUGCAGACCACGAGACACCACUGAGAAUGUCAGUGUGACUCCACAAUGUCAGCUGGUCGUGGACCAACUCUACAGUGUGACCUGCCCCAGCGCCCAACAGAUACAGCCCGAGGAGGGUCUGUUUGACAUGGACUAUGAGCCCAACUAUCACCCACUGUUUGAACUGCGGUUCAAGAAGAAGACGAUUAAAGCUGCUCUGACGAUCCAAGAGGCUGGAGACUCAGGGAGAGAAGUCUGGAGACAGGAGGUGAAUCUGACAGAUCCGACACGCAGAGUUCGCAGGAUUCAUCCAAGGAUGUCAC